GCCAGUGUGGCGUAACGGCCAGCGCAUCUGCCUAGUGAGCAGGAGACCCAGGUUCAAAUCCUGGCAGUGGUA
Non-coding RNA from Schistocerca cancellata (South American locust), 72 nucleotides. The record is from the annotation of a RefSeq genome assembly. NCBI's taxonomy places the organism in Eukaryota, Metazoa, Arthropoda, Insecta, Orthoptera, Acrididae.